Beta vulgaris subsp. vulgaris (sugar beet) is the source of this 406-nucleotide long non-coding RNA. RefSeq lists it as uncharacterized. The transcript is spliced from 2 exons. NCBI's taxonomy places the organism in Eukaryota, Viridiplantae, Streptophyta, Magnoliopsida, Caryophyllales, Amaranthaceae. The record is from RefSeq and is a predicted model, not a curated record.
UCUGUUUCAAUUGAGAACUGAAGUUAGAACAAUGAAAAUAGGUUUAAAACUUCAUCUGAGAAGAAGUGUUUUUUUUAGUCACAAUUUUGUUAAGAUUUAUGUAUACCUUGCUUGCAUUGGGAACUAGCUUCUGCAGAGCUUUCAUCUUUUGGUUGAUGCGGUCUCUUCGUCUCUAUAAAAGCAAGUGAAAUGACUAUCAAUAUUAGAUUUGGUUGGUCGAGAGUAAUCAUAUAUUCAUGAGGUUUGGUGGAAGGGACCCGUAAAACAAGUGAUUGUGACCUAGAAUUCUAGAAGUAUAUAAUUAUAUAUUUUGGCAAACCUAGUAAGAAGUACUUGUUUAUGGUGUCAACUUAAUGUACUUUAAUACUUUUCUAAGCAUGGGUAAAGUGUUUAUUAUUACUUAUUA